GACGGAGCCUUCGUCCACGUGCUCACUUCAGCUGCAACGGAUGGGCAGAGAGAAGAAGACGCGACCUGGGGAGCCCGAGCAGAGCACCGUGGAGGAGUGGACGGACGUUCAGAGAACUGGCAAAGCAGACGGCGCAGGGGCAGCACAGCCAGCAGAGCCCUGGCGAGGACCCAAGUCCCUGCCCCAGCAAGACCCGAGGGACAGUGGCGGCAGCGAGGGCAGACCUGAGACGGGAGGAAGGCAGAUGGCAGCAUGGAAUCCCAUUUGGAUAAACACCUCUGAAGCCCUCACAGAGUGUGCGGCCUGGCCCUCAGGCAGACACUGAAGCACUGCUAGCCAAGUGGUCACCUUCAGCCCCCUGGUCCCCUUCCCUCCCUUGGUGGUUGCAGCUUCCAGACUCAGAGCCUUCUCCCCCAACCAACACCAGCCUCGGGAACAUUCCUCAUAAUUGCAGAGCAGCCAGUACGAUGGGAUGAGUAAUCGUCAACGCUCUCACUUCUCUGCCAUGUCCCCAAAUGCCUCUCAGCGUGUGCAAGAGAGAACUUCAGAGCCCAGCUCUUCCGUGGGUUCUGCCGAUGUCCCUGACUGAAUCUCCCAGCAUGCUUCACCAGGAGUCACCAGGCAAAGCUCUCUGGCCACUUGGGACACAGGGGCCCCUUUUAGAGGAAUAGCUUGGUCAGCCAGGCACAGCUGAAAUGAACCAUCUUAAAAUCAAUUAACUCUGCACCCUUCACAGAAAAUAAAGUCCACUGAGACACCUACUGGCCCGGAGUAACUUUUGGCUUUGGAGAGGUCAUGUGAUGACUUGGUUUCCUC
Molecule: long non-coding RNA, 816 nt
Organism: Heterocephalus glaber (naked mole-rat)
Lineage: Eukaryota; Metazoa; Chordata; Mammalia; Rodentia; Bathyergidae
Source: Ensembl